Molecule: ribosomal RNA, 293 nt
Filed under: uncultured bacterium
Lineage: Bacteria
Description: partial 16S ribosomal RNA
Source: RNAcentral
GGACUACAAGGGUUUCUAAUCCUGUUUGCUACCCACGCUUUCGCGCCUCAGCGUCAGAUGAUGACCAGUAUGCUGCCUUCGCCAUGGGUGUUCCUCCUGAUAUCAACGCAUUUCACCGCUACACCAGGAAUUCCACAUACCUCUCCAUCCCUCAAGUCUGCCAGUAUGAAAAGCAAUUUUCGGGUUGAGCCCUGAAGAUUUCACUUCUCACUUAACAGACCGCCUACGCGCUCUUUACGCCCAGUAAAUCCGGAUAACGCUUGGACCCUACGUCUUACCGCGGCUGCUGGCAC